GAGGGUAUAGCUUAGUACAGAGUGUGUGCUUAGCAUUCAUGAGGUCUUGGGUUCAAUCCCCAGUACCUCUG
This 71-nucleotide transfer RNA is filed under the name Camelus bactrianus (Bactrian camel). It matches the Rfam family "tRNA". Rfam says of the family: Transfer RNA (tRNA) molecules are approximately 80 nucleotides in length. Their secondary structure includes four short double-helical elements and three loops (D, anti-codon, and T loops). RNAcentral also lists the same sequence under 2 other names. Lineage: Eukaryota; Metazoa; Chordata; Mammalia; Artiodactyla; Camelidae. The record is from Rfam by way of RNAcentral.